UCUUCUAAGAGGCCUAUGUGUUCUACUAAGAGGACUAGGUGUUCUACUAAGAGGACUAGGUGUUCUUCUAAGAGGACUAGGUGUUCUUCUAAGAGGACUAAGUGUUCUACUAUGAUGGCUAGGUGUUCUACUAAGAGGACUAGGUGUUCUACUAAGAUGACUAGGUGUUCUACUAAGAGGACUAGGUGUUCUACUAAGAGUACUAUGUGUUUUUCUAAGAGGACUAGGUGUUCUACUAAGAGGACUAGGUGUUGUACUAAGAUGACUAGGUGUUGUACUAAGAGGACUAGGUGUUUUACUAAGAGGACUAGGUGUUCUACUAAGAGGACUAGGUGUUUUACU
Molecule: long non-coding RNA, 342 nt
Organism: Oncorhynchus keta (chum salmon)
Lineage: Eukaryota; Metazoa; Chordata; Actinopteri; Salmoniformes; Salmonidae
Exons: 5
Source: RefSeq, a predicted model, not a curated record